UGCCAAUCAACGACUUGAACUGUCAAGCUGAGUAACAUGCAGAAAUCAAGUGUUCCCCAGUGAAAGCAGCGAGUUUUCACGGUGACUGUGGUGACUGUGGUGACUGUGGUGACGAAUCACCCAAAGAAAAAAUAAAAACGCUAAAUUCA
This is a long non-coding RNA of Xiphophorus hellerii (green swordtail), 149 nucleotides long. RefSeq lists it as uncharacterized. The transcript has 2 exons. The record is from RefSeq and is a predicted model, not a curated record. Lineage: Eukaryota; Metazoa; Chordata; Actinopteri; Cyprinodontiformes; Poeciliidae.